AAGCACAUUUUUGUCUGUGGUGCUGGUUUGGGGCUGGGAAAGAGGAACAGGUAGGGCCAGGGGAGGGAGGCGGGCUUCACUGCAGGGGCCUUCCGAGGAGCUGGUAGGGGGCUGCUGAGUGUAGCUCGUGGGUUUCCACCAAGUGAAGCCACAUAACGAGCUGGGGGCAUCUCCAGCACCUCCCUGACACAGUGCGUGGUAUCGUGACCCCGUCAUCAGCUUUGCCCGCCUUUGAACUGAUCGCUGGACUCUUACGUUCACACGCUUAUGAGGCAAGUCCUUCUGUGGUCUUCCUGCGUUGUAAACGAUCGUCAGGUUUUGGUGUCAAGACUGCGCUGGCCUCCUGACUUGGACGCACUUCCUCUUCUCUUAUUUCUGGAAGACAUUGCACAAGGAGCUGCUACCAUCCAUACUUACAUAAUUAGAUGAAUUUGCUAAUAGAGCUGUCUGGGCCUGAAAAAUUUUUUUUUGAGUUUUUUUUUUUCCAUUGUAGAUUAAACUUAUUUGCUAGAUACUAAAGCUUUCAAAUCUUCUGAUUUUUCCUAUGUCAGCUUUGGUAGGUUGUGCUUUUCUGGGGGGGUGGAUAGAGGGAUCAGUUUCAUCCAAUUUGUCAAAUUGACUGGCAUAAGUUCCUUUUAUUGCCUAUUUUAUUUCCUUAGGAUCUGCAGAGAUAUCCAUUUUGGUAACUUGUGCCUUUUACUUGUAUAUUUUUAUCAAUCUUGUUAAGGGUUAAUCAUUUUAAUAGGACUUUUCAAAAAGCUAAGGUUUGGCUUGGUUGAUUUUCCUGUUGGAUGACUGAUUUCUCUUUACUUCUUUCUCGUUGCCUUCUCUGAGUCUAAUUUGCUGUACCUUUUCUAAUUUUUGAGACACGGAGCUAGAUUAUUGACUUUUGGCUUUUCACCUUUGGUAAUAUAAGCACUUAAGGAUAUUUAUUUCUUUCUAGUUACUAUUUUAGCUGCAAAUAAGUUGCAUUUGCUAAAAACAAGACAACAGGCCCAAAUGGAUUGUCUUGUGCUAAGGGCCAUGUCACUAAACCUAGAGGGAGUUACAGUUUUGGCUCCCCUGAAAUUGGAAUUUUAAGCCAGUCACCUGGCAACUGCCUGGUCAGGACUGGUGAGGUACUUGGCCUGGCAGACCCCUGCCCACCCCUGAAGGAAGGGAGCUUGCGAUAACCAAGCCCCUGUUUUGCCUGGGAUAAUUUCCCCGUGCCCGCUCCCUUCUGGCUGUAGAAGUCCUUCAUGUUGGACAGCUCCUCGGGGCCUCUUUCCAUCUGCUGGCUGGGUGCAGCCUGGUUGGAAUAAAUGAAUAAAACCAGUAAGACUUACAAUUGA
Molecule: long non-coding RNA, 1331 nt
Organism: Callorhinus ursinus (northern fur seal)
Lineage: Eukaryota; Metazoa; Chordata; Mammalia; Carnivora; Otariidae
Source: RefSeq, a predicted model, not a curated record